Small nucleolar RNA from Meriones unguiculatus (Mongolian gerbil), 132 nucleotides. The record is from Ensembl. NCBI's taxonomy places the organism in Eukaryota, Metazoa, Chordata, Mammalia, Rodentia, Muridae.
CCUCCUCCUAGAAGUGUUGUAGGUGUGGCUGAAGUAUUACAAGUAUGUAAGUAGGUGGCAGAGAGGAGAGAGGCUAUGUCGAAGACCAGCAUUCUGACCUAGGAACAUCUGAAUAAUUAAUAGUCUAACAGU